AUGAUAAACAGAGAGCAAAUUAGAAUCCAAGGAAGUUGACAUGUCAUCACUUCAUUUUUUUGCGCCUGCGCAUAAAUCUGAGAAGCGUGAGUUUUCAUCAUUGUUUAUCUAGACAUAGAAUAGGUUGUGUGAAAAUAUUACUGAUGUUUAACGUUAAAAAUGGACCAAAAGAUUAAUGCUAAACAACAUUUGACAUGUUUGAACGAACAUAAAUAGAUUAUUUACUAGGUUUUUUUAGCUUUUCGGCGUGAUUUUACACUCCCCCCACCACGUUUUGUGGGAGCAUAAUGAACGCUAAGUACUUGGUGUUAUUUGGACAUAAAUUAUGAACUUUGUCAAAAGAAACCACAUUUGUUCCGGACCUGGGAUGCCUUCCGGACCUGGGAUGCCUGCCUUCUGAUGGAGAUAAUCAAAGACAGAACCCUGAUGACUGGAGAGACGUCAACAGAACCCUGAUGACUGGAGAGACAUCAACAGAACCCUGAUGACUGGAGAGAGGUCAACAGAACCCUGAUGACUGGAGAGAGGUCAACAGAACCCUGAUGACUGGAGAGACGUCAACAGAACCCUGAUGACUGGAGAGAGGUCAACAGAACCCUGAUGACUGGAGAGACGUCAACAGAACCCUGAUGACUGGAGAGACGUCAACAGAACCCUGAUGACUGGAGAGAGGUCAACAGAACCCUGAUGACUGGAGAGACGUCAACAGAACCCUGAUGACUGGAGUUUAAGAUCAAACUAAAUGCCUCACCUCUUCUGCUCCUUGCUAGAGAGGUUUUGGGUUGGCUACUUCGCUAUGCUAUAUCAUGUCAUCUUUUUCCAUUUCAAUGUUUAAGAAGAUGAGAAAAAAGAAGGAACCCGCACAUUGCUUUUGACAGUAUCACUGCUCUUUAAUAAGCUUUGCGUAUCGGCCUCACAGCCUUUCACGGCCUCACGGUUUCAAGGCCUCUCACAGCCUUUCACGGCCUCUCACAGCCUUUUACGGUCUCUCACAGCCUCACGGUUUCACGGCCUCUCACAGCCUUUCACGGCCUCUCACAGACUCACGGUUUCACAGCCUCUCACAGCCUUUCACGGCCUCUCACAGCCUCACGGUUUCACGGCCUCUCACAGCCUUUCACGGCCUCUCACAGCCUCACGGUUUCACGGCCUCUCACAGCCUUUCACGGCCUCUCACAGGCUUUCACGGCCUCUCACAGCCUCACGGUUUCACGGCCUCUCACAGCCUUUCACGGCCUCUCACAGCCUCACGGUUUCACGGCCUCUCACAGCCUUUCACGGCCUCUCACAGCCUCACGGUUUCACAGCCUCUCACAGCCUUUCACGGCCUCUCACAGCCUCACGGUUUCACAGCCUCUCACAGCCUUUCACGGCCUCUCACAGCCUCACGGUUUCACGGCCUCUCACAGUCUUUCACGGCCUCUCACAGCCUCACGGUUUCACAGCCUCUCACAGCCUUUCACGCCUCUCACAGUCUCACGGUUUCACGUCCUCUCACAGCUUUUCACGGCCUCUCACAGCCUCACGGUUUCACGGCCUCUCACAGCCUUUCACGGCCUCUCACAGCCUCACGGUUUCACAGCCUCUCACAGCCUUUCACGGCCUCUCACAGUCUCACGGUUUCACGUCCUCUCACAGCUUUUCACGGCCUCUCACAGCCUCACGGUUUCACGGCCUCUCACAGCCUUUCACGGCCUUUCCUUAUUUUUUUCUAGUUUUAUUCAACUGCACCUGCAGGAAAGAUGUGUUAGUUCCUUAUGAAUUUUGAAUGUUUAAGAAGAUGUUCAUUGGCUGUGACUGAAUCCAAUAAUAUUUGAUACAUUUAUCAUUCCUUUUGAUUCAUAAAGAGUGUUUCUGUGUGUUUGGUAGCGUAAACAUGUUAACAUCCCAGAGGCCAUAGUCCAAAAACUGUGAACAUUCUCUUUUAUGUAGAGGGGAGUUAGAUAGAUAACACAAUGUACCUGAAAUCACCUCAACUGUCUGUCUCCAUUAGGAGUCUAUUAUAUCAAGGGCAAUAUGGGCUAUAACAAGCCUUAAAGAAAAGACAUGGGAGAAAUCAAAAACCUUCAGUAAUGACAGCAUGGAGUUAAAUCAACAGUCCAUUCAUUCUAACAAAUGCAUGGAGUUAAAUCAACAGUCCAUUCAUUCUAAUGACAGCAUGGAGUUAAAUCAACAGUCCAUUCAUUCUAACGUCAGCAUGGAGUUAAAUCAACAGUCCAUUCAUUCUAAUGAUAGCUACCUGCCUCCCCCCCAUCUAACCACUAGGCUACCUGCUCUAACCACUAGGCUACCUGCCCUAACCACUAGGCUACCUGCCUCCCCCCUCUAACCACUAAGCUACAUGCCUCCCUCCUCUAACCACUGGGCUACCUCCUCUAACCACUAGGUUACCUGCCUCCCCCCUCUAACCACUAGGUUACCUGCCUCCCCCCUCUAACCACUAGGCUACCUGCUCUAACCACUAGGUUACCUGCCUCCCCCCUCUAACCACUAGGCUACCUGCUCUAACCACUAGGCUACCUGCCUCCCUCCUCUAACCACUAGGCUACCUGCAUCCCUCCUCUAACCACUAGGCUUCCUGCCCUAACCACUAGGCUACCUGCCUCCCCCCUCUCUAACCACUAGGCUACCUGCUCUAACUACUAGGCUACCUGCACUAACCACUAGGCUACCUGCUCUAACCACUAGGCUACCUGCCUCCCCCCUCUAACCACUAAGCUACCUGCCUCCCUCCUCUAACCACUGGGCUACCUCCUCUAACCACUAGGCUACCUGCCCUAACCACUAGGCUUCCUGCCUCCCUACCCUAACCACUAGGCUACCUGCUCUAACCACUAGGUUACCUGCCUCCCCCCUCUAACCACAAGGCUACCUGCUCUAACCACCAGGUUACCUGCCCCCCCCUCUAACCACUAGGUUACCUGCCCUCCCCCUCUAACCACUAGGCUACCUGCCUUCCCCCUCUAACCACUAGGCUACCUGCUCUAACCACUAGGUUACCUGCCUCCCCCUUCUAACCACGAGGUUUUCUGCCUUCCCCCUCUAACCACUAGGCUACCUGCUCUAACCACUAGGUUACAUGCCCUAACCACUAGGCUACCUGCUCUAACCACUAGGCUACCUGCCCCCCCCUAACCACUAGGCUACCUGCUCCAACCACUAGGCUACCUGCCCUAACCACUAGGCUACCUGCCCUAACCACUAGGCUACCUGCCUCCCUCCUCUAACCACUAGGCUACCUGCCUCCCACCUCUAACCACUAGGCUACCUGCCUCCCCCCUCUAACCACUAGGCUACCUGCCCUAACCACUAGGCUACCUGCCUCCCCCCUCUAACCACUAGGCUACCUGCCCUAACCACUAGGCUACCUGCCUCCCUCCCCUAACCACUAGGCUACCUGCUCUAACCACUAGGCUACCUGCCCCCCCCUAACCACUAGGCUACCUGCUCCAACCACUAGGCUACCUGCCCUAACCACUAGGCUACCUGCCCUAACCACUAGGCUACCUGCCUCCCUCCUCUAACCACUAGGCUACCUGCCUCCCACCUCUAACCACUAGGCCACCUGCCUCCCCCCUCUAACCACUAGGCUACCUGCCCUAACCACUAGGCGAUCUGCCUCCCUCCCCUAACCACUAGGCUACCUGCCCUAACCACUAGGCUACCUGCCUCCCUCCUCUAACCACUAGGCUACCUGCAUCCCUCCUCUAACCACUAGGCUUCCUGCCCUAACCACUAGGCUACCUGCCUCCCCCCUCUAACCACUAGGCUACCUGCUCUAACUACUAGGCUACCUGCACUAAC
This 3804-nucleotide long non-coding RNA is filed under the name Salmo salar (Atlantic salmon). RNAcentral describes it as "lncRNA (ENSSSAG00000087312.1)". The record is from RNAcentral. Lineage: Eukaryota; Metazoa; Chordata; Actinopteri; Salmoniformes; Salmonidae.